CUGGCGGGAUGCUUUACACAUGCAAGUCGAACGGCAGCACGGACUUCGGUCUGGUGGCGAGUGGCGAACGGGUGAGUAACAUAUCGGAACGUAUCCAAUAAUGGGGGAUAACUAAUCGAAAGGUUGGCUAAUACCGCAUACGCCCUACGGGGGAAAGCUAGGGAUCUUCGGACCUGGCGUUAAUGGAGCGGCCGAUAUCUGAUUAGCUAGUUGGUGGGGUAAAGGCCCACCAAGGCGACGAUCAGUAGCUGGUCUGAGAGGACGACCAGCCACACUGGAACUGAGACACGGUCCAGACUCCUACGGGAGGCAGCAGUGGGGAAUUUUGGACAAUGGGCGCAAGCCUGAUCCAGCCAUUCCGCGUGAGUGAAGAAGGCCUUCGGGUUGUAAAGCUCUUUCGCAAGGGAAGAAAACUUAUCCUCUAACAUAGGAUGAGGUUGACGGUACCUUGAUAAGAAGCACCGGCUAACUACGUGCCAGCAGCCGCGGUAAUACGUAGGGUGCGAGCGUUAAUCGGAAUUACUGGGCGUAAAGCGUGCGCAGGCUGUUUUGUAAGUCAGAUGUGAAAUCCCUGAGCUCAACUUAGGAACUGCGUUUGAAACUACAAGACUAGAAUAUGUCAGAGGGGGGUAGAAUUCCACGUGUAGCAGUGAAAUGCGUAGAGAUGUGGAGGAAUACCAAUGGCGAAGGCAGCCCCCUGGGAUAAUAUUGACGCUCAUGCACGAAAGCGUGGGGAGCAAACAGGAUUAGAUACCCUGGUAGUCCACGCCCUAAACGAUGUCUACUAGUUGUUGGUGGAGUAAAAUCCAUGAGUAACGCAGCUAACGCGUGAAGUAGACCGCCUGGGGAGUACGGUCGCAAGAUUA
This 866-nucleotide ribosomal RNA is filed under the name uncultured bacterium. Its description in RNAcentral is "bacterial SSU rRNA". It matches the Rfam family "Bacterial small subunit ribosomal RNA", at positions 36 to 896 of the family's 1533-position model. The record is from RNAcentral.